RNAcentral lists this ribosomal RNA (301 nucleotides) under uncultured bacterium. Its description in RNAcentral is "partial 16S ribosomal RNA". It matches the Rfam family "Bacterial small subunit ribosomal RNA", at positions 509 to 807 of the family's 1533-position model. The record is from RNAcentral.
CAGUAGCCGCGGUAAUACAGAGGGUGCAAGCGUUAAUCGGAAUUACUGGGCGUAAAGCGUGCGCAGGCGGUUCGUUAAGACAGAUGUGAAAUCCCCGGGCUUAACCUGGGAACUGCAUUUGUGACUGGCGAGCUAGAGUAUGGCAGAGGGGGGUAGAAUUCCACGUGUAGCAGUGAAAUGCGUAGAGAUGUGGAGGAAUACCGAUGGCGAAGGCAGCCCCCUGGGCCAAUACUGACGCUCAUGCACGAAAGCGUGGGGAGCAAACAGGAUUAGAUACCCGUGUAGUCCCUGUCUCUUAUAC